UAGGGAAUCUUCCACAAUGGACGCAAGUCCGAUGGAGCAACGCCGCGUGAGUGAAGAAGGUUUUCGGAUCGUAAAGCUCUGUUGUUGGUGAAGAAGGAUAGAGGCAGUAACUGGUCUUUAUUUGACGGUAAUCAACCAGAAAGUCACGGCUAACUACGUGCCAGCAGCCGCGGUAAUACGUAGGUGGCAAGCGUUGUCCGGAUUUAUUGGGCGUAAAGCGAGCGCAGGCGGAAUGAUAAGUCUGAUGUGAAAGCCCACGGCUCAACCGUGGAACUGCAUCGGAAACUGUCAUUCUUGAGUGCAGAAGAGGAGAGUGGAAUUCCAUGUGUAGCGGUGGAAUGCGUAGAUAUAUGGAAGAACACCAGUGGCGAAGGCGGCUCUCUGGUCUGCAACUGACGCUGAGGCUCGAAAGCAUGGGUAGCGAACAGG
RNAcentral lists this ribosomal RNA (429 nucleotides) under bacterium. RNAcentral describes it as "partial 16S ribosomal RNA". It matches the Rfam family "Bacterial small subunit ribosomal RNA", at positions 355 to 776 of the family's 1533-position model. The record is from RNAcentral.